This 327-nucleotide ribosomal RNA is filed under the name uncultured eukaryote. Its description in RNAcentral is "partial 18S ribosomal RNA". It matches the Rfam family "Eukaryotic small subunit ribosomal RNA", at positions 1470 to 1796 of the family's 1831-position model. The record is from RNAcentral.
CCCUUAGAUGUUCUGGGCCGCACACGCGCUACACUGAAGGAGGCAGCGUGUACUCCUGGAUCGAAAGAUUUGGGUAACCCGCGAAUCUCCUUCGUGCUAGGGAUUGAGGUUUGCAAUUAUCCUUCAUGAACGAGGAAUUCCCAGUAAGUGCAAGUCAUAAGCUUGCGCUGACUACGUCCCUGCCCUUUGUACACACCGCCCGUCGCUACUACCGAUUGAAUGAUUUAGUGAGGACUUCGGACUGGGACCGAUGCGGCUUUCGGACUGCGUCGGUAUUCUGGAAAGAUGUCCAAACUGUAUCAUUUAGAGGAAGUAAAAGUCGUANCA